AACGCACAAGGUUUAUUUUAUCCUUUUAUAUCCCUGAAGUGCUUGACUUUGCAAGCAAAAUUCCAACCCACCGGGCUAAAGUUAAUUUUGAUUUGAGCCCCAAUAUUUAUUGGUUCUUUUACACACUUCCCUCCUAUCCAGUUUCCCUUUAUUUGAUCCGAUCUCAUUCCAUCUCUCAUCUGUUAUUGCCGUUCAUUCCACUGGCAUAGCGUUGUAUUAUAUGGCAGCUGCGAGCACCUGAGUUGGUUGGCGGCAGCAAGUUCGAGUCAAGGCGGCCGUGGAAGUUGCAUAGCGUCGCACAAGCACGAUCUGGGGACGACCAGCAGCGACUCCAUCCAAGUUCCUGCCUAGCUGUGGCAGCUCUUGAUUCCCAUCAAGAAGAACCUAGGACAAAUCCUUGCAUGGAGGUGGUGACAGGUGCACUGCCAAGCGUUAUCACCAAGCUGGGUGAACUUCUCAUUGGCGAGUACAAUCUGCAGAAGGGGCUGAAGGGGGAGAUCAGGUUUCUCCAAUCGGAGCUCGAGAGUAUGAAGGGUGCCCUUGAGAAGGUCUCUAGCACACCGGCCGACCGGCUUGACAUUCAAGACAAGAUCUGGGCUAGGGAUUUGAGGGAGCUGUCCUAUGAUAUAGAGGACGGUAUUGACACAUUCAUGGUCCGUGGGCAGGGUAAAGAGCAGGGCAAUCUGCAUGGCAUCAAGAAGUUCAUUGAUAGAAGUGUUGGUUUGUUUAGAAAGGCCAAGAUUCGCCAUGGGAUGGCCACUGAGAUCAGAGACAUCAAGACCCGUGUCGAAGAGGUAGCCAAGCGGCAUGGAAGGUACAAGAUCAACAUUGAUGUUGCUAUGCCUGUCAUGAUCGAUCCACGUUUAUUCAGUCAGUACACGGAGGCGAAAGAGCUUGUUGGAAUUGAUGAGGCAAGAGAUGAGCUAAUUAAGACUCUAGAAGAAGAGAAUGAAGUGUCCAUGCAGCAGCAUGGAAAGAUAGUUUCCAUUGUUGGAUUUGGGGGACUGGGAAAGACAACUCUUGCAAAAGCAGUUUAUGAAAAGAUUAGAGCACGAUUCGAUUGUUGUGCUUUUGUUUCAGUGUCUCAAACUCCUAACUUGAAGAAAUUAUUCAAGGGCUUGCUUUGUGAUCUUGGCAAAACAAAUAAUGAAGAAACAUUGGAUGAGAGUCGGCUUAUAAAAGUACUCAGAGAAUUCCUUCAAGAGAAAAGGUAUUUCAUUGUUAUUGACGACAUAUGGGAUAUCUCAGUCUGGAAAAUGAUCAAAUGUGCUUUGCCUGAUAAUGAUGUUGGAUACGCUAUCAUCACAACUACCCGUAUUUUUGAUGUUGCUGAACAAGCCGGUGGUGCUUACAAGCUGAAACCCCUUUCAUUAAAUAACUCUCGCAAGUUGCUGUAUAGAAGAAUAUUUGGUACUGAAAACAAAUACGAUAAUAAAGGCAUAGAAAAAUGUCCAAAUGAGGAGCUGGCCGAAGUAUCUGACAGAAUACUAAAGAAAUGUUCUGGAGUACCCUUAGCAAUCACUACGAUGGCAAGUCUGCUAGCUUGUAAAGCAAGAAAUAAAAUAGAUUGGUAUGAGGUGUACAAUUCCAUUGGUACUGGUCUGGAAAACAAUCUAGAUGUGAAGAAUAUGAGAAAGAUUUUAUCAUUUAGCUAUUAUGAGCUGCCAUGCCAUCUAAGGACUUGCUUAUUAUAUUUAAGCAUGUUUCCAGAAGAUUUUGAAAUUGACAAGGGUCGUUUGAUAAGGAUGUGGAUAGCUGAAGGUUUUAUCCAAUGUGAAAAACAUGGGAAGAGUUUAUUUGAACUCGGAGAGAGUUACCUCAAUGAGCUCAUAAAUAGAAGUAUGGUCCAAGCAAUAUAUGACAGACACACUGGCAUGCCACCUAGUUGUCGCGUACAUGAUAUGGUGCUCGAUCUUAUCCGUUCCUUGUCAACUGAAGAAAACUUUAUUGCUGUACUAAGUGAUAUGGAUAGCACAUCUCCAUCAGAUACGAUUCGGAGGUUGUCCCUUCAAAAUGUCAAGAACAGUCACAUAAUGGCUCAUGCUACUAGGAGCUCGCUGCAACAUGCAAGGUCAGUUGUUAUCUUCCCAUCUGAAUUUGCUCAAGCGCCGGCUCUUGGGAGUUUUCAGGUUUUACGUGUACUGGAUUUAUGUGAAUGUGAUCUUUCACAAGCUAAUAGUCUUAAGUACCUUGAAAAUUUAUAUCAGUUGAGGUACUUGGGACUAUGUGAGACAAGUAUUUCUCAGCUCCCGGGAGAAAUAGGGAACCUGCAGUUUCUGCAAACAUUGGACGUAAGGGGCAAUACUAUUUCAUGGUUGCCUUCGGGUGUUGUUCAGCUAACUAAUUUGAUGUUCCUAUACAUCGACGGGUCUACAAAAGUGCCGAAUGGAAUUGGAAACCUAACAUGCCUUGAACAGCUGUCGUCGUUAUACAUUGAUGGCUCCACCAUAAAUAUUGUAGAAGAGUUGGGCCAGCUAGCUGCACUAAGGCGGCUGGAGAUUGAAUUGGACGAGUGGAACAACAAGGUGUUGGAGUGCCUACGCAUGCUACAAAAGAUCCAGGAACUAGAUAUCUCAGUCUGUUCUGGUGAACGUAGCAUCAGUGGAUUGGAUGCCUGGACCGCCCCUCGACAUAUUCGUGAUUUGCGUAUAGUACACAGCUGUUGGUUUUCUACACUGCCGGCUUGGGUGAAUCCAUCACUUGUUCCGGAUCUCACCCGCCUAUAUAUCGAUGUGAGGGAGCUGCAUCAAGUCGAUCUUGAAAUCCUCGGGAGGUUGCCAGCUCUCCGCUCUCUGUGGCUGGAGGUGGACAACAAGAACCUCGGAAUCCUUCAGGGAUUCGUUGUUGGUGCUGGUUCCUUCCCGUGCCUUGUAAGUUGUUGCUUCUCGCAAUUUGUAUGGCCAGUGGUAUUUCAACAAGGAGCUAUGCCAAGGCUUAGAGAGCUUUACCUCUUGGCAUUGUUUUAUGUGCGGGAGGCAAGAGGAAUUGCCUGCAGCGAUGGUGGCCUCGACUUGGGCCUGGGGAACCUGCCAUCGCUGCAAUGGGUCGCAGCUGACCUCCAGUGUGCGGGCGCUAACAAGGAGAAGGCGGAGCAAGCCAAGGCUGCACUGACGCUGGCAGCUAGAAUGCAUCCCAAUCAUCCCAACCAUGAUAUACAUAUUCAAAUAUGAAGGUGCGUAGAUCCUCUAGGUGGUGCUGCUCCAUGAUGGAGACAGUAGAGCGGAGUUGAAUUUCGUGGAGUGGAGCACUCCUAAAUGGACCCUUAUUCCUUCUAAAUAGGCCCUUGCUUCUGUCCUUUCCCAUUUCUUCUAAACUUAAUUGCGUUGGUUUUUUCCCACCCUAUGCCACCUUAGCUCCAGAUGUUCUUUCUCCGUUAUUCUAACACAUCCUCCCCACUUUAUUUCCUUCUAAUCAUCUUUUUUUUAGUUGUGUUUAUAUCCUCAAAAGUAGGAUGGAGAGAGAAAGUGGGAUUACAAUAAUCUGGGUGCUAAGGUUUUUAUAAUCUAUCCAAUUACCUGGUGUGUUUAGCUCUCAUAAAGACUUUUUAGCCAAUAAUAAAAUACAAUAGCUUUGUUUUCUUUUACAUCAUUAUGGAGUGCAAAAAUAAUAUAGCAAAAUAUAUGGUCUUUGUUUCUGAUUGGACUUCUAUUAUGUUUUGGCAAAGAUUCUGAUUGGACUUCUAUUAUAUUUUGCCUAUUUGAACUCGGAGAGUUUUACUUCAACGAGCUCAUAAUCAAAAGUAUGAUCCAACCGAUACAUAGCUCAUGAACUGGCAUGGUAAAUGGUUGUCGCAUACAUGAUAUGGUGCUGGAUCUUAUCCGUUCCUUGUCAAGUGAAGAAAACUUAACAUGCCUUGAGCUGCUGUCACAGUUAUACAUUGAUGACUCUGCCAUAAACAUUAUAGAAGAGUUGGGCGAGCUAACUGAACUGAGGCGGCUGUGGAUUAAAUUGGAGGAGUGGAAUGACAAGCUGUUAGAGUGCCUGCACAAGCUACAAAAGAUUCAGGAACUGUGUAUCGAUCAUGCUCCAUCAUCCUCACCGCAGCAUAGGUGGAUUGGAUACCUGGGUUGCCCCUCGACGUCUCCGUGACUUGGUUACACAAUACAGUUGUUGGUUUUCAACACUGCCAGCUUGGGUGAAUCCAUCGCUUGUUCCGGAUCUCACCUGUCUAACCAUCGCCGUGAGGGAGCUGCAUCAGGGCGACCUCAAAAUCCUCGGGAGGUUGCCAGCUCUCCGCUAUGUCUAACCUGGGAAUCCUUCAGGGAUUCGUUGUUGGUGCUGGUUCCUUCCCGUGCCUCGUAAGCUGUUGGUUCUCGCGAUCUGUAUGGCCAGUGGUGUUUCAACAAGAAGCUAUGCCGAGGCUCAGAGAGCUUCGGAUCUGGCCGUUGUUUUAUGUGCGGGAGGCAAGAGGAAUGGCCAGCAGCGAUGGUGGUCUCGAUUUUGGCCUAGGGAACCUGCUAUCACUGCAGGAAGUCAAGAUUGAAAUCCUAGGUGCAGGCGCUACCAAGGAGGCGGCGGAGCAAGCCAUGGUCCCGCUGACGCAUGUAGCUUCUAUUCAGAUGAAGAAUAGCAAACCGGAGAAAAGAUCUGCUUCGCCACAUCUGCAGAGAUUAAAUUGGUCAACCAUGGACGGUACCAAACAACUCGAACCUGUAAGCAGUGAUGUUAGCUACUCGGUUUCCCAUGGAAAUGUCGCAUGUUUGGGUACCGUAAUGCCGCUCCCUGUCGCUGACAUCAAUAAUGCCGCACGUCCUCAGGAGCCUGCAAUGCCACGGGAGGCCUUGGACAGAACAAAACGCAAGGGCAUUGCGGCGACAGAGUCGGGCCUAGAUGUCACGCAUGGGUAUCCAUCCUAUUGUAGGGUGUGUUGCUGUUGAGUGCAGUGGUCUGCUUUCAUGAGGCUCUCAAAAGCGCAAUCAUUUGCAUAGCUUUUAUGUUGUGUUUAGCCUGCCAUUUGUUCGUACGAAUCUUCAGGAGUCUAGCUAUGUUUGACAAAGAGGGGCAAGAAGUAUUUUGGGUUAUUUGCAGCUUGUGGCCUUGAUCGUCAUGCGUGCCGGUGAGAAGUCAGAGUAUAGAUGCCAGUGUGCAUGCUCUGUUUUUCCGUGUGCUCUGUUCUGCGCAUAACUCUGUUCUGCAGAGCAUGGUGCCCACGAGUAGCUUCACCAACCGAACUUGCAUUAAAAAAGCUUUGGUCUGUUGCUUAACACACAUGGAAAGCUUUGGUCUAGACAUGAGAUAAGUGUACAUAUGAUCAACUAAAUGUUCAUGCAUGUGGCCUUUAUUAAAUAAUAAAAUACAAUCACUUUGUGUCUUUUUCA
Panicum hallii is the source of this 5318-nucleotide RNA transcript. It is a transcript of the gene named putative disease resistance RPP13-like protein 3, with no coding region annotated. The transcript is spliced from 5 exons. The record is from RefSeq and is a predicted model, not a curated record. NCBI's taxonomy places the organism in Eukaryota, Viridiplantae, Streptophyta, Magnoliopsida, Poales, Poaceae.